AACGAACGCUGGCGGCAUGCCUAACACAUGCAAGUCGAACGAGACCUUCGGGUCUAGUGGCGCACGGGUGCGUAACGCGUGGGAACCUGCCCUUAGGUUCGGAAUAACUCCCCGAAAGGGGUGCUAAUACCGGAUAAUGUCUUCGGACAAAGGAUUUUCGGCUUUGGGUUGGGCCGGGGUUGAUUUAGCUGGUGGUAGGGUAAAAACCUUCCAAUGCGACGGUCCAUAGCUUGUCUGGAAGGAGGGACAGUCACACUUGGACUGAGACACGGGCCCAGACCCUACGGGAGGCAGCAGUGGGGAAUAUUGGACAAUGGGCGAAAGCCUGAUCCAGCAAUGCCGCGUGAGUGAUGAAGGCCUUAGGGUUGUAAAGCUCUUUUACCCGGGAUGAUAAUGACAGUACCGGGAGAAUAAGCUCCGGCUAACUCCGUG
RNAcentral lists this ribosomal RNA (432 nucleotides) under uncultured bacterium. RNAcentral describes it as "partial 16S ribosomal RNA". It matches the Rfam family "Bacterial small subunit ribosomal RNA", at positions 29 to 507 of the family's 1533-position model. The record is from RNAcentral.